UUGACCUCAAAUCAGGUAGGACUACCCGCUGAACUUAAGCAUAUCAAUAAGCGGAGGAAAAGAAACUAACAAGGAUUCCCCUAGUAACUGCGAGUGAAGCGGGAAAAGCUCAAAUUUAAAAUCUGGCAGUCUUUGGCUGUCCGAGUUGUAAUCUAGAGAAGUGUUGCCCACGCUGGACCGUGUAUAAGUCUUCUGGAAUGAAGCGUCAUAGAGGGUGAGAAUCCCGUCUUUGACAUGGACUCCCAGUGUAUUGUGGCGUGCUCUCAAAGAGUCGAGUUGUUUGGGAAUGCAGCUCUAAAUGGGUGGUAACCUCCAUCUAAAGCUAAAUAUUGG
Molecule: ribosomal RNA, 333 nt
Filed under: Amanita spreta
Lineage: Eukaryota; Fungi; Basidiomycota; Agaricomycetes; Agaricales; Amanitaceae
Description: eukaryotic LSU rRNA
Rfam family: Eukaryotic large subunit ribosomal RNA
Source: RNAcentral